RNAcentral lists this ribosomal RNA (1505 nucleotides) under uncultured sludge bacterium H39. RNAcentral's name for it is "bacterial SSU rRNA". It matches the Rfam family "Bacterial small subunit ribosomal RNA". Lineage: Bacteria; Bacillati; Chloroflexota. The record is from RNAcentral.
AGAGUUUGAUUAUGGCUCAGGAUGAACGCUGGCGGCGUGCUUAAGACAUGCAAGUCGAACGCAGAAUUGUAGCAAUACGGUUCUGAGUGGCGAAUGGGUGCGUAACACGUAGGUGACCUGCCCAGAAGUGUGGAAUAACAGUCCGAAAGNNNNGCUAAUACCGCAUGUGGCGCGCGGGGUUAGAGGCCCGCACGCGAAAGGUCUGCAAAGAUCGCUUCUGGAGGGGCCUGCGGNNNNUCAGUUAGUUGGUAGGGUAACGGCCUACCAAGACUACGACGGGUAGGGGACCUCAGAGGGUGGCCCCCCACACUGGCACUGACACACGGGCCAGACUCCUACGGGAGGCAGCAGUCGGGAAUAUUGCCCAAUGGUCGCAAGACUGAGGCAGCAACGCCGCGUGCGCGAUGAAGGCCUUCGGGUCGUAAAGCGCUUUUCAGUGGGAUGAGGAAGGGACAGUACCACUGGAGUAAGGUACGGCUAACUACGUGCCAGCAACCGCGGUAAAACGUAGGUACCGAGCGUUAUCCGGAUUUACUGGGCGUAAAGCGUGUUCAGGCGGUCUAGCAAGUCGGGCAUGAAAUCUCUGGGCUCAACCCGGAGGGGUUGUCCGAUACUGCUGGGCUUGAGGGCAGCAGAGGGUGGUGGAAUUCCGGGUGUAGUGGUGAAAUGCGUAGAUAUCCGGAGGAACACCAGUGGCGAAGGCGGCCACCUGGGCUGUACCUGACGCUCAAACACGAAAGCUAGGGGAGCGAACGGGAUUAGAAACCCCGGUAGUCCUAGCCGUAAACGAUGUUGACUAGGUGUCGACGGUCUAAACCCCGCCGGUGCCGGAGCUAACGCACGAAGUCAACCGCCUGGGGACUACGGCCGCAAGGUUAAAACUCAAAGGAAUUGACGGGGACCCGCACAAGCAGCGGAGCGUGUGGUUUAAUUCGAGGCUACGCGCAGAACCUUACCAGGGAUUGACAUGGCUGUGGUAGUGAAGCGAAAGCGGAACGAUCCCUUCGGGGAGCAGUCACAGGUGAUGCAUGGCUGUCGUCAGCUCGUGCCGUGAGGUGUUUGGUUAAGUCCACUAACGAGCGCAACCCUUAGCCUCAGUUAUACGUGUCUGAGGCGACUGCCGGUAUUAAGCCGGAGGAAGGUGGGGAUGACGUCAAGUCCGCAUGUCCUUUAUACCCUGGGCUACACACACGCUACAAUGGCCAGUACAAUGGGUCGCCAAGCCGCGAGGCGGAGCCAAUCCUAAAAAGCUGGUCUCAGUUCGGAUUGCAGGCUGCAACCCGCCUGCAUGAAGUCGGAGUUGCUAGUAACCGCAGGACAGCUAUACUGCGGUGAAUACGUUCCCGGGUCUUGUACACACCGCCCGUCACGUCAUGGGAGCUGGCAACACCUGAAGCCGGUGGGCGAACCGCAAGGACGCAGCCGUCGAAGGUGGGGUCGGUGACUGGGACGAAGUCGUAACAAGGUAGCUGUAGCGGAAGCUGCGGCUGGAUCACCUCCUUUCU